RNAcentral lists this transfer RNA (76 nucleotides) under Candidatus Moranbacteria bacterium RBG_13_45_13. RNAcentral describes it as "tRNA-Met". It matches the Rfam family "tRNA". From Rfam's summary of the family: Transfer RNA (tRNA) molecules are approximately 80 nucleotides in length. Their secondary structure includes four short double-helical elements and three loops (D, anti-codon, and T loops). The record is from RNAcentral. Lineage: Bacteria; Candidatus Moraniibacteriota.
GGGACCGUAGCUCAGUGGUUAGAGCGGCCGGCUCAUAACCGGUUGGUCAUAGGUUCGAAUCCUAUCGGUCCCACUA